CGAAGAGGUCACACCCGUUCCCAUGCCGAACACGGAAGUUAAGCUCUUCAGCGCCGAUGGUAGUCGGGGGUUUCCCCCUGUGAGAGUAGGACAUCGCCAGGCA
RNAcentral lists this ribosomal RNA (103 nucleotides) under Bacillus sp. CN2. The record is from RNAcentral. Lineage: Bacteria; Bacillati; Bacillota; Bacilli; Caryophanales; Bacillaceae.